This 267-nucleotide ribosomal RNA is filed under the name uncultured bacterium. RNAcentral's name for it is "partial 16S ribosomal RNA". It matches the Rfam family "Bacterial small subunit ribosomal RNA", at positions 333 to 616 of the family's 1533-position model. The record is from RNAcentral.
UACCUCCUACGGGAGGCAGCAGUGGGGGAUAUUGCACAAUGGGGGAAACCCUGAUGCAGCGACGCCGCGUGUGGGAAGACGGUCUUCUGGAUUGUAAACCACUGUCCCCAGGGACGAAAAUGACGGUACCUGGGGAGGAAGCUCCGGCUAACUACGUGCCAGCAGCCGCGGUAAUACGUAGGGAGCAAGCGUUGUCCGGAAUUACUGGGUGUAAAGGGAGCGUAGGCGGGGAUGCAAGUUGGGUGUAAAAACUACCGGCUCAACAGA